GACGAACGCUGGCGGCGUGCUUAACACAUGCAAGUCGAACGGAAAGGCUCUGCUUUUGUGGGGUGCCCGAGUGGCGAACGGGUGAGUAACACGUGAGUAACCUGCCCUUGACUUUGGGAUAACUUCAGGAAACUGGGGCUAAUACCGGAUAGGAGCUCCUGCUGCAUGGUGGGGGUUGGAAAGUUUCGGCGGUUGGGGAUGGACUCGCGGCUUAUCAGCUUGUUGGUGGGGUAGUGGCUUACCAAGGCUUUGACGGGUAGCCGGCCUGAGAGGGUGACCGGCCACAUUGGGACUGAGAUACGGCCCAGACUCCUACGGGAGGCAGCAGUGGGGAAUAUUGCACAAUGGGCGGAAGCCUGAUGCAGCAACGCCGCGUGCGGGAUGACGGCCUUCGGGUUGUAAACCGCUUUCGCCUGUGACGAAGCGUGAGUGACGGUAAUGGGUAAAGAAGCACCGGCUAACUACGUG
This 468-nucleotide ribosomal RNA is filed under the name uncultured bacterium. RNAcentral's name for it is "partial 16S ribosomal RNA". It matches the Rfam family "Bacterial small subunit ribosomal RNA", at positions 28 to 507 of the family's 1533-position model. The record is from RNAcentral.